This 73-nucleotide transfer RNA is filed under the name Nicotiana sylvestris (wood tobacco). It matches the Rfam family "tRNA". From Rfam's summary of the family: Transfer RNA (tRNA) molecules are approximately 80 nucleotides in length. Their secondary structure includes four short double-helical elements and three loops (D, anti-codon, and T loops). Further hydrogen bonds mediate the characteristic L-shaped molecular structure. tRNAs have two regions of fundamental functional importance: the anti-codon, which is responsible for specific mRNA codon recognition, and the 3' end, to which the tRNAs corresponding amino acid is attached (by aminoacyl-tRNA synthetases). tRNAs cope with the degeneracy of the genetic code in two manners: having more than one tRNA (with a specific anti-codon) for a particular amino acid; and 'wobble' base-pairing, i.e. permitting non-standard base-pairing at the 3rd anti-codon position. The record is from Rfam by way of RNAcentral. RNAcentral also lists the same sequence under 1 other name. Lineage: Eukaryota; Viridiplantae; Streptophyta; Magnoliopsida; Solanales; Solanaceae.
ACGACCUUAGCUCAGUUGGUAGAGCGGAGGACUGUAGAUCCUUAGGUCACUGGUUCGAAUCCGGUAGGUCGGA